UCCAGACUCCUACGGGAGGCAGCAGUGAGGAAUAUUGGUCAAUGGGCGAGAGCCUGAACCAGCCAAGUCGCGUGAGGGAGUACUGCCCUAUGGGUUGUAAACCUCUUUUGUCGGGGAGCAAAAGCCGGACGUGUCCGGCUGUGAGAGUGCCCGAAGAAAAAGCAUCGGCUAACUACGUGCCAGCAGCCGCGGUAAUACGUAGGUGGCAAGCGUUGUCCGGAUUUACUGGGUGUAAAGGGCGUGCAGCCGGGCUGACAAGUCAGAUGUGAAAUCCCGCGGCUCAACCGCGGAACUGCAUUUGAAACUGUCAGUCUUGAGUACCGGAGAGGUCAUCGGAAUUCCUUGUGUAGCGGUGAAAUGCGUAGAUAUAAGGAAGAACACCAGUGGCGAAGGCGGAUGACUGGACGGCAACUGACGGUGAGGCGCGAAAGCGUGGGGAGCAAACAGGAUUAGAUACCCCCGUAGCC
RNAcentral lists this ribosomal RNA (467 nucleotides) under uncultured bacterium. Its description in RNAcentral is "partial 16S ribosomal RNA". It matches the Rfam family "Bacterial small subunit ribosomal RNA", at positions 330 to 795 of the family's 1533-position model. The record is from RNAcentral.